RNAcentral lists this transfer RNA (71 nucleotides) under Candidatus Aramenus sulfurataquae. Its description in RNAcentral is "tRNA-Glu". The stretch from base 12 to 71 matches the Rfam family "tRNA". Rfam says of the family: Transfer RNA (tRNA) molecules are approximately 80 nucleotides in length. Their secondary structure includes four short double-helical elements and three loops (D, anti-codon, and T loops). The record is from RNAcentral. Lineage: Archaea; Thermoproteati; Thermoproteota; Thermoprotei; Sulfolobales; Sulfolobaceae.
CAUCUACUAGGGCACCGAGAGUAUGCGGGCCUCUCAAGCCCGUGGCCCGGGUUCAAAUCCCGGCCGGAGCA